This 315-nucleotide ribosomal RNA is filed under the name uncultured bacterium. RNAcentral's name for it is "bacterial SSU rRNA". It matches the Rfam family "Bacterial small subunit ribosomal RNA", at positions 28 to 334 of the family's 1533-position model. The record is from RNAcentral.
GACGAACGCUGGCGGCGCGCCUAACACAUGCAAGUCGAACGGAGUUGUGUUGAAAGCUUGCUGGAUAUACAACUUAGUGGCGGACGGGUGAGUAACACGUGAGUAACCUGCCUCUCAGAGUGGAAUAACGUUUGGAAACGAACGCUAAUACCGCAUAACGUGAGAAGAGGGCAUCCUCUUUUUACCAAAGAUUUAUCGCUGAGAGAUGGGCUCGCGGCCGAUUAGGUAGUUGGUGAGAUAACAGCUUACCAAGGCGAUGAUGCAUAGCCGAGUUGAGAGACUGAUCGGCCACAAUGGAACUGAGACACGGUCCAU